UAAUACGUAGGUGGCAAGCGUUGUCCGGAUUUACUGGGCGUAAAGCGCGCGCAGGCGGUGAAUGAAGUCGAAAGUGAAAGCCCCGAGCUCAACUCGGGAACUGCUUUCGAAACCAGUUCACUUGAAGGUGGAAGAGGGAAGUGGAAUUCCGAGUGUAGCGGUGGAAUGCGUAGAUAUUCGGAGGAACACCAGAGGCGAAGGCGACUUCCUGGUCCAAUCUUGACGCUGAGGCGCGAAAGCUAGGGGAGCAAACAGGAUUAGAUAUCCUGGUAGUCCUAGCUGUAAACGAUGGAUACUAGGUGUUGGAGGUUUUAACCCCUUCGGCGCCGCAGCUAACGCAUUAAGUAUCCCGCCUGGGGAGUACGGCCGCAAGGCUAAAACUCAAAGGAAUUGACGGGGCCCCGCACAAGCAGCGGAGCGUGGGGUUUAAUUCGAUGAUACGCGAAGAACCUUACCAAGGCUUGACAUGCACAUGACCGCGGCGGAAACGUCGCUUUCCCGAAAGGGACGCGUGCACAGGUGUUGC
RNAcentral lists this ribosomal RNA (526 nucleotides) under uncultured Mahella sp. Its description in RNAcentral is "bacterial SSU rRNA". It matches the Rfam family "Bacterial small subunit ribosomal RNA", at positions 521 to 1044 of the family's 1533-position model. Lineage: Bacteria; Bacillati; Bacillota; Clostridia; Mahellales; Mahellaceae. The record is from RNAcentral.